RNAcentral lists this ribosomal RNA (484 nucleotides) under uncultured bacterium. RNAcentral describes it as "partial 16S ribosomal RNA". It matches the Rfam family "Bacterial small subunit ribosomal RNA", at positions 29 to 507 of the family's 1533-position model. The record is from RNAcentral.
AAUGAACGCUGGCGGCAUGCCUAACACAUGCAAGUCGAGCGAACGAAGGGGGCUUUCUCUUGGCUUCAGUGGGCGGCGGGUGGGUGAUGCCCACGUGUAUGCCCUGCCGUUGGGACUGGCGUCCCGUCACGGGAGCUGAUCUCGCAUCCGAUAAUAUGUUGAACGUGGGGGUUCAUCGGUGCAAGAGGUUUUUGCUGAGCCUAGGUCGGAUUAGCUAGUUGGAUGGGUAAAGGCCUACCAAGGCGACGAUCCGUAACUGGUCUGAGAGGAUGACCAGUCACACUGGAACUGAGACACGGUCCAGACUCCUACGGGAGGCAGCAGUGGGGAAUAUUGGGCAAUGGGCGAAAGCCUGAUCCAGCCAUGCCGCGUGUGUGAAGAAGGUCUUCGGAUUGUAAAGCUCUGUAAGUUGGGAGGAAGAGAAGUAAGUGAAUACCUGACUGUUUUGACGGUACCUACAGAAUAAGCACCGGCUAACUACGUG